AUUGAACGCUGGCGGCAGGCCUAACACAUGCAAGUCGAACGGUAACAGGAAGAAGCUUGCUUCUUUGCUGACGAGUGGCGGACGGGUGAGUAAUGUCUGGGAAACUGCCUGAUGGAGGGGGAUAACUACUGGAAACGGUAGCUAAUACCGCAUAACGUCGCAAGACCAAAGAGGGGGACCUUCGGGCCUCUUGCCAUCGGAUGUGCCCAGAUGGGAUUAGCUAGUAGGUGGGGUAACGGCUCACCUAGGCGCCGAUCCCUAGCUGGUCUGAGAGGAUGACCAGCCACACUGGAACUGAGACACGGUCCAGACUCCUACGGGAGGCAGCAGUGGGGAAUAUUGCACAAUGGGCGCAAGCCUGAUGCAGCCAUGCCGCGUGUAUGAAGAAGGCCUUCGGGUUGUAAAGUACUUUCAGCGGGGAGGAAGGGAGUAAAGUUAAUACCUUUGCUCAUUGACGUUACCCGCAGAAGAAGCACCGGCUAACUCCGUG
Molecule: ribosomal RNA, 490 nt
Filed under: uncultured bacterium
Lineage: Bacteria
Description: partial 16S ribosomal RNA
Rfam family: Bacterial small subunit ribosomal RNA
Source: RNAcentral